AGUCACUGACAUUAGACUACCCCCGUAGUCCCAGCCGUAAACAAUGUGCGUUAGGUGUGUCGGUAACCACGUGUUACUGAUGCGCCGAAGAGAAAUCGUGAAACGCACCACCUGGGAAGUACGGUCGCAAGGCUGAAACUUAAAGGAAUUGGCGGGGAGCACCACAACAGGUGGAGCCUGCGGUUUAAUUGGAUUCAACGCCGGACAUCUCACCGGAUAAGACAGCUGAAUGAUUGUCAAUCUGAAGGUUUUACAUGACUAGCUG
Molecule: ribosomal RNA, 265 nt
Filed under: uncultured archaeon
Lineage: Archaea
Description: partial 16S ribosomal RNA
Rfam family: Archaeal small subunit ribosomal RNA
Source: RNAcentral